Molecule: non-coding RNA, 28 nt
Filed under: Mus musculus (house mouse)
Lineage: Eukaryota; Metazoa; Chordata; Mammalia; Rodentia; Muridae
Source: RNAcentral
UCAAUUGAAAGCUGAGCCCAGCAGGUGA